Molecule: long non-coding RNA, 598 nt
Filed under: Gossypium barbadense (sea-island cotton)
Lineage: Eukaryota; Viridiplantae; Streptophyta; Magnoliopsida; Malvales; Malvaceae
Description: long non-coding RNA (GBAR_LNC014801)
Source: RNAcentral
GAAAAAUCAUAAAGAGAAUGACAAACAUUAGUAGACCCACCUUAAACACCUAAGGUAGUCGUUUCAUUAGAACCCGGAGGUACCCCUUGAAAGUUAUUUUCCUCCGUAAUCAAGCCUUCUAAACUGAUCCUGUCAAUGAAUGUUGUUAUAGCUUCAGCAACAAAAUCAUGAUCGAUUACCUUCACCUUGAGUUUGUUGCCUUUAUCCUGAAGAUUGUGAGACCCAUUCUUAAACGUUUGAGGUCCCUAGAAAGCCCUAUAUUUCAUUUAUGUCACAAUUUUUCCAUGUAAAAUUUUUUGUUUUUCAAUUUAAUCCCUAUUUGACAAUUUCAUAAAAAAACCUCUUAACAAAAGUUGUUUAUAUAACAACAACUAUCCAUUUUAUUCCAUCAAACAUUAAAAAAAAAUAUAUUCAUUCAUGGAAAACUCUAAUCCUUUAGCAUUUUUACAAAUUAGUCGUUAGGCUAGCUAGAUUAAGCUACAAUGAUCCUAAAAACAUAGAAAUCAUUAAAAACGGGACAAAAAUCACUUACAAUCAAGCAAUGAGAAGUUGCCAAAAUUAAAAGCUCAAUAAUGGCUUCCCAAACCCUAAGAUUCAG